This 250-nucleotide ribosomal RNA is filed under the name uncultured bacterium. RNAcentral's name for it is "partial 16S ribosomal RNA". It matches the Rfam family "Bacterial small subunit ribosomal RNA", at positions 524 to 776 of the family's 1533-position model. The record is from RNAcentral.
UACGUAGGCAGCAAGCGUUGUUCGGAAUUACUGGGCGUAAAGAGUGUGUAGGCGGUGCUCUAAGUUCGGUGUGAAAUCUCCCGCUUAACUGGGAGGGUGCGCCGGAACUGGAGUGCUCGAGCGUGGGAGAGGAAAGCGGAAUUCCUGGUGUAGCGGUGAAAUGCGUAGAUAUCAGGAGGAACACCUGCGGUGUAGACGGCUUUCUGGACCAUGCUGACGCUGAGACACGAAAGCGUGGGUAGCAAACAGG